RNAcentral lists this ribosomal RNA (435 nucleotides) under uncultured bacterium. RNAcentral describes it as "partial 16S ribosomal RNA". It matches the Rfam family "Bacterial small subunit ribosomal RNA", at positions 28 to 507 of the family's 1533-position model. The record is from RNAcentral.
GAUGAACGCUGGCGGUAUGCUUAACACAUGCAAGUCGAACGGACUCUUCGGAGUUAGUGGCGGACGGGUGAGUAACGCGUGAGAAUCUGGCUUUGGGUUCGGGACAACCACUGGAAACGGUGGCUAAUACCGGAUGUGCCGAGAGGUAAAAGAGAAAUUGCCUGAAGAUGAGCUCGCGUCUGAUUAGCUAGUUGGUGAGGUAAAGGCUCACCAAGGCAGCGAUCAGUAGCUGGUCUGAGAGGAUGACCAGCCACACUGGGACUGAGACACGGCCCAGACUCCUACGGGAGGCAGCAGGGGGGAAUUUUCCGCAAUGGGCGAAAGCCUGACGGAGCAAUACCGCGUGAGGGAAGAAGGCUCUUGGGGUGUAAACCUCUUUUCUUGGGGAAGAACAAAAUGACGGUACCUAAGGAAUCAGCAUCGGCUAACUCCGUG